This 126-nucleotide ribosomal RNA is filed under the name Tuber sp. Tsp-mg01. RNAcentral describes it as "partial 5.8S ribosomal RNA". It matches the Rfam family "5.8S ribosomal RNA", at positions 31 to 154 of the family's 154-position model. From Rfam's summary of the family: 5.8S ribosomal RNA (5.8S rRNA) is a component of the large subunit of the eukaryotic ribosome. It is transcribed by RNA polymerase I as part of the 45S precursor that also contains 18S and 28S rRNA. Functionally, it is thought that 5.8S rRNA may be involved in ribosome translocation. Lineage: Eukaryota; Fungi; Ascomycota; Pezizomycetes; Pezizales; Tuberaceae. The record is from RNAcentral.
CAUUGAUGAAGUACGCAGCGAAAUGCGAUAAGUAAUGUGAAUUGCAGAAUUCAGUGAAUCAUCGAAUCUUUGAACGCACAUUGCGCCCCUUGGCAUUCCUUGGGGCAUGCCUGUUCGAGCGUCACU